Molecule: non-coding RNA, 104 nt
Filed under: Jeotgalibacillus soli
Lineage: Bacteria; Bacillati; Bacillota; Bacilli; Caryophanales; Caryophanaceae
Description: TPP sequence
Rfam family: TPP riboswitch aptamer (THI element)
About the family: Vitamin B(1) in its active form thiamin pyrophosphate (TPP) is an essential coenzyme that is synthesised by coupling of pyrimidine and thiazole moieties in bacteria. The previously detected thiamin-regulatory element, thi box was extended, resulting in a new, highly conserved RNA secondary structure, the THI element, which is widely distributed in eubacteria and also occurs in some archaea. Analysis of operon structures identified a large number of new candidate thiamin-regulated genes, mostly transporters, in various prokaryotic organisms.
Source: Rfam by way of RNAcentral
UUACUACCCUGGGGGGGCUUGGAAAAGCUGAGAGAGACGUCUAGUCUUGACCCUUAUUACUUGAUCUAGGUAAUGCUAGCGAAAGGAAGAGGUAUAGCGACUGA